Molecule: ribosomal RNA, 135 nt
Filed under: uncultured eukaryote
Lineage: Eukaryota
Description: partial 18S ribosomal RNA
Rfam family: Eukaryotic small subunit ribosomal RNA
Source: RNAcentral
UGGUGGAGUGAUUUGUCUGGUUAAUUCCGUUAACGAACGAGACCUUACCCUGCUAAAUAGGAGCUGAAUGAAUAAUUUGGCAUCCUUCUUAGAGGGACUAUGUGUUCAAGCACAUGGAAGUUUGAGGCAAUAACA